ACGCUAGCUACAGGCUUAACACAUGCAAGUCGAGGGGCAGCAUUUUAGUUUGCUUGCAAACUGAAGAUGGCGACCGGCGCACGGGUGAGUAACACGUAUCCAACCUGCCGAUAACUCCGGAAUAGCCUUUCGAAAGAAAGAUUAAUACCGGAUAGCAUACGAAUAUCGCAUGAUAUUUUUAUUAAAGAAUUUCGGUUAUCGAUGGGGAUGCGUUCCAUUAGUUUGUUGGCGGGGUAACGGCCCACCAAGACUACGAUGGAUAGGGGUUCUGAGAGGAAGGUCCCCCACAUUGGAACUGAGACACGGUCCAAACUCCUACGGGAGGCAGCAGUGAGGAAUAUUGGUCAAUGGGCGAGAGCCUGAACCAGCCAAGUAGCGUGAAGGAUGAAGGCUCUAUGGGUCGUAAACUUCUUUUAUAUGGGAAUAAAGUUUUCCACGUGUGGAAUUUUGUAUGUACCAUAUGAAUAAGGAUCGGCUAACUCCGUGCCAGCAGCCGCGGUAAUACGGAGGAUCCGAGCGUUAUCCGGAUUUAUUGGGUUUAAAGGGAGCGUAGGUGGAUUGUUAAGUCAGUUGUGAAAGUUUGCGGCUCAACCGUAAAAUUGCAGUUGAAACUGGCAGUCUUGAGUACAGUAGAGGUGGGCGGAAUUCGUGGUGUAGCGGUGAAAUGCUUAGAUAUCACGAAGAACUCCGAUUGCGAAGGCAGCUCACUAGACUGUUACUGACACUGAUGCUCGAAAGUGUG
This 742-nucleotide ribosomal RNA is filed under the name uncultured Bacteroidales bacterium. RNAcentral's name for it is "bacterial SSU rRNA". It matches the Rfam family "Bacterial small subunit ribosomal RNA", at positions 33 to 763 of the family's 1533-position model. The record is from RNAcentral. Lineage: Bacteria; Pseudomonadati; Bacteroidota; Bacteroidia; Bacteroidales.